UCUGCCUAACUUGGCACCCUUGUGAUGCCAUACAGAGAAAUCACAGGGCAGUACCUGAGGGUCUGU
Heterocephalus glaber (naked mole-rat) is the source of this 66-nucleotide non-coding RNA. The record is from Rfam. Lineage: Eukaryota; Metazoa; Chordata; Mammalia; Rodentia; Bathyergidae.